RNAcentral lists this ribosomal RNA (447 nucleotides) under uncultured bacterium. RNAcentral describes it as "bacterial SSU rRNA". It matches the Rfam family "Bacterial small subunit ribosomal RNA", at positions 355 to 825 of the family's 1533-position model. The record is from RNAcentral.
UCGGGAAUUUUGGGCAAUGGGCGAAAGCCUGACCCAGCAACGCCGCGUGAAGGAUGAAGUAUUUCGGUAUGUAAACUUCGUAAGAAUAGGAAGAAUAAAUGACGGUACUAUUUGUAAGGUCCGGCUAACUACGUGCCAGCAGCCGCGGUAAUACGUAGGGACCAAGCGUUGUUCGGAUUUACUGGGCGUAAAGGGCGCGUAGGCGGUGUGUCAAGUCAGUUGUGAAAUCUCCGAGCUUAACUCGGAACGGUCAACUGAUACUGUCACACUAGAGUACAGAAGGGGCAAUCGGAAUUCUUGGUGUAGCGGUGAAAUGCGUAGAUAUCAAGAGGAACACCUGAGGCGAAGGCGGGUUGCUGGGCUGAUACUGACGCUGAGGCGCGAAAGCUAGGGUAGCAAACGGGAUUAGAUACCCCUGUAGUCCCUGAGCGGGCUGGCAAGGCGCAU